Non-coding RNA from Triticum urartu, 1367 nucleotides. The record is from RefSeq and is a predicted model, not a curated record. Lineage: Eukaryota; Viridiplantae; Streptophyta; Magnoliopsida; Poales; Poaceae.
ACGUGAUGCACGCCGCCAGGUCCGCGCCGACAUCGUGCUCACGGAGCUUGGCCUCUGCGUUGUGUUCUCCAUCUUGCAACGCAUGAUGAACUACACAGUAGAGUUCAGCCGAGGAAGAAUCAGGUGAUUCUGGAUUGUUGUGUAAUUGUUUAUAUUCCUAACUGAGAUGGGAUUACAGUUUAUUUGCUUGAUUAUUGGUCAUGUUUACUUAGAUAAUCCAUUGAUGGUUGAUCUGGUUAAGUACAUAUGCUACCCCUUGUUUGUUUAUAUUGCUAGCUGAGAUGGGAUUACAGUUUAUUUGCUUGAUUAUUGGCCGCAUUUACUUAGAUAAUUCAUUGAUGGUUGAUCUUGUUAGCUACAUAUGCUACCCCCUGUUCUGAACAAGCUUUAAUUUUGGUGGACUAAUCCCAGUUUGACAUAGUUGCUGGUCAUCAACAAAAAGCCGACCACAUAAUCCUGUAUUUUAUUUCUGGGUCGUUUCAAAAUUUCUGCUCUACACAGAAUCUUAAGAAGUUUGGGUAUGCACACAGGUCCUAAUAAUAAUGAGCUGUUUAGUGCAAUGCAUGUGGCCUGAUUACUUCUUUUCUUUCCUUUUUUAUGUUGUACGUUCUUGGAGGUCGCCUUUUCUUUCUUCCGUUGAUCAAGUUUUCUUCUUCUUUCUUCUGCUUAUCAGGGUUUCUUCCUUUCCUUUUUUCUGGAAAUUGCAUUUAUUGUGUGACCUAUGUAUUUUCAUUAUUCUUGCUUCAUUGGUCGUGUUGAUAUUCUGGGUUUGGCCCGACAUUGUGUUUUCUUUUGCCUCAUGCCAUUCAUAUUUUGUGGUUGCGUGUGGACAUGGUUUGCGUGCUUAUUUCAAUUGUUAGCCGUGUAUCAUGGUGUGCUUUGCCUGCUUUUUCAUGCUUGUGUGAAUUGACCAUGGUCUGUUCUUGUUGGGGUAAAGCCUGAACUGCCGGGUACACUUUGGUUAUUGUCCUUAUUCUGGUUCUCCUUGGCAUCUUUCUAUCAGUGGAGAUCCUUGUUUUCAAAUAGCAGGGAUAGAGGGACAGAAAAGAUAUAUUUGUCACGGCGCUGCAAGUGUUGCCCCCCUCCUCCCCAAGGGCAAGGUGAAGGAAGGUGCCUGUGUGGUUCUUUUGCAGUUCGCAACGAGGAUUGUUGUGUUCAACCUGCACAAGAAUGCCAAGAAGUCCUUCUCGGAGACGAUUAAGGACAUGUACCUGCACUACAACGAGAGAUCUGGGCUGCUUCUUUGUGGCUUCCAAACUUGAAAUGUUUGUUUGGAAGUUAGUUUAGUUUUUUGUUGUGGAUUCACAGCUUCUCACAUGUACCAUCUUCUUAGACCUUUAGAUUUCCAAAGAAACUAAAUGAAGAUA